Molecule: ribosomal RNA, 253 nt
Filed under: uncultured bacterium
Lineage: Bacteria
Description: partial 16S ribosomal RNA
Rfam family: Bacterial small subunit ribosomal RNA
Source: RNAcentral
UACGUAGGGACCGAGCGUUGUCCGGAAUCAUUGGGCGUAAAGAGCGUGUAGGCGGCCUUUUAAGUCCUGCGUGAAAUCCUGCGGCUCAACCGCAGACGGUCGUGGGAAACUGGAAGGCUAGAGUGCGGGAGAGGAGAGUGGAAUUCCCGGUGUAGCGGUGAAAUGCGCAGAUAUCGGGAAGAACACCCGUGGCGAAGGCGGCUCUCUGGAACGCAAUUGACGCUGAGACGCGAAAGCGUGGGGAGCAAACAGG